AACAUGGAGAGUUUGAUCCUGGCUCAGGAUGAACGCUGGCGGUCUGCUUAACACAUGCAAGUCGAACGGAGUACUUCGGUACUUAGUGGCGGACGGGUGAGUAACGCGUGAGAAUCUGCCCUUAGGACGGGGACAACAGCUGGAAACGGCUGCUAAUACCCGAUGUGCCGAGAGGUGAAACAUUUAUGGCCUGAGGAUGAGCUCGCGUCUGAUUAGCUAGUUGGUGGGGUAAGAGCCUACCAAGGCGACGAUCAGUAGCUGGUCUGAGAGGAUGAUCAGCCACACUGGGACUGAGACACGGCCCAGACUCCUACGGGAGGCAGCAGUGGGGAAUUUUCCGCAAUGGGCGAAAGCCUGACGGAGCAAGACCGCGUGAGGGAAGACGGCCUACUGGUUGUAAACCUCUUUUGAUAGGGAAGAACACAAUGACGGUACCUAUCGAAUCAGCCUCGGCUAACUCCGUGCCAGCAGCCGCGGUAAUACGGAGGAGGCAAGCGUUAUCCGGAAUUAUUGGGCGUAAAGCGUCCGUAGGUGGUGAUUCAAGUCUAUUGUCAAAGCAUGAGGCUUAACCUCAUACCGGCAGUGGAAACUGCAUGGCUAGAGUGCGAUAGGGGCAAGGGGAAUUCCCAGUGUAGCGGUGAAAUGCGUAGAUAUUGGGAAGAACAUCGGUGGCGAAAGCGCCUUGCUGGGUCUGCACUGACACUGAGGGACGAAAGCUAGGGGAGCGAAAGGGAUUAGAUACCCCU
Molecule: ribosomal RNA, 746 nt
Filed under: Elainella sp. C42_A2020_010
Lineage: Bacteria; Bacillati; Cyanobacteriota; Cyanophyceae; Oculatellales; Oculatellaceae
Description: Bacterial small subunit ribosomal RNA
Rfam family: Bacterial small subunit ribosomal RNA
Source: Rfam by way of RNAcentral